This 41-nucleotide ribosomal RNA is filed under the name Lepidorhombus whiffiagonis (megrim). Lineage: Eukaryota; Metazoa; Chordata; Actinopteri; Pleuronectiformes; Scophthalmidae. The record is from RNAcentral.
GAAGGUAGCUUACGGCCACACCGCCUGGAUCACGCCCGAUC